Triticum aestivum (bread wheat) is the source of this 530-nucleotide long non-coding RNA. RefSeq lists it as uncharacterized. NCBI's taxonomy places the organism in Eukaryota, Viridiplantae, Streptophyta, Magnoliopsida, Poales, Poaceae. The record is from RefSeq and is a predicted model, not a curated record. The transcript has 2 exons.
GAGUUGGCGAUGGAAAUAGCUGGGGUGUCAUUAUUCUUGCUUGAUCUGGGCGUAUCACUGUUGACCUGCUGGAAGAGGAGUGCUGGGAGUACAACAUACAAGCUGACGUCGGUAUCGCGACAUCAUCAGGGAGGUCGGCAAUGAGAACAUGCGAUGUUCAAAUUGACUAUGGGAUGUUCGUGGCAAUGGUGAAGAAGGGGAUCAUCAGGAAUGGAAGUCUGACCAUCAUUCUCCAUGGAUCAGACGACCUCGACUAUCCUUUGAUUGAAAUAUUCAUAUACAACACACUAUAUUUGUUCGCAUUGUGCUAUAGAUCAUAUCAAUAUUUUUAAGUCAAGUCAUGUAAAAAAACUGAGGAUAACAAGUAUAGGAGAAGCUUUAAUAUUAGAGCAACAGGGGAGGAGCAAAUGAUUGAAUGGGCUAUCAUCCGUGUAAAAUAAAACUGAGGGUAACAUCACCAGGUGGAAAACUAUAUUUGAUUGACAUCAUAACACUAGCAAGGUGAAUAACAAUGUAACAUUAUCUUUUCA